Molecule: long non-coding RNA, 168 nt
Organism: Perognathus longimembris pacificus (Pacific pocket mouse)
Lineage: Eukaryota; Metazoa; Chordata; Mammalia; Rodentia; Heteromyidae
Exons: 3
Source: RefSeq, a predicted model, not a curated record
CUCUUCCCAUUCCACUUAUUUUAAAUAAAAAUGUCAGAAAACUCAAUUGUUCAGAAAUGAUCCCCUGGUAUGAAGGUUCUGACCAGGAGUUCCUCUCUCCUCCUGCCAGUCUUUCUGGUCAUGUCUUUGCAAUGCAGGGAGCUGGAAUGAUGUAUCUGUCAGCGUCAC